AGAGAGAAGUGGGAAGAGGAAUAGUACUGUAGAAAGAAUAGUGAUUUGCUGGCAUUUUUGUAAUUUUAUGUUAUUUGGAGGCUGAUUUGAAACUAUUGAUUAAUCUCACCAUUUUCUCCUCAUAGCCGAUAAGAUCAGCUUUCUGUUUCUUCCUUUUUACUUUCUAUUCUAUGGUUUCUCUUCUCUCUUUAGAAAUUCUACUCCAAGAAAUCAAAUCUUCUUCAAAUUAUCGGUGCAAAGUCAGAUCAAAAUCAACCCACUUGAGAAAGCCAUUACAGCAACAAAACCAAAUACAAUCAUGUCUAGGUUUCUGGUGUUGAUGGUGCUGAUCGGAGGCGGCUUUCUUGGCUUCUGGUUAUCGGAGAAGGAUGGUAGACAAUGGGGAACGGCGAGUCUUGGCUGAGUUAGAGCGAGUUGGGGCUGAGUUAAUUGGGUUAUUGUCUGCUUGACUGCUGAUUGAGAAUUGUGGGUCGACGAUUUGGAACGACGGUGAGGUGUAGUCGAAUAGCGGUUAUGAUGUACUUACUAUUGCGAACAUGAAGUGCAGAGAGAGAUGAUCGAAAGUGUGAGUGGAGGAGAUGAGAAAAUGGAGAGAGCGAUGGAACAGGGGCAGUAUAUUGUGAGGGAUUUUGACUCUCUAUUUUUAAUUGAUAAUAAUGGAAUAUAUAGUUGGACUGGAUCAUGAUAUAUAGUUGGGUUUGAUGAUGAGGAUUGGGCAUUAAUCAUU
Salvia miltiorrhiza (redroot sage) is the source of this 727-nucleotide long non-coding RNA. RefSeq lists it as uncharacterized. The transcript has 2 exons. The record is from RefSeq and is a predicted model, not a curated record. Lineage: Eukaryota; Viridiplantae; Streptophyta; Magnoliopsida; Lamiales; Lamiaceae.